RNAcentral lists this ribosomal RNA (516 nucleotides) under uncultured bacterium. RNAcentral describes it as "bacterial SSU rRNA". It matches the Rfam family "Bacterial small subunit ribosomal RNA", at positions 13 to 518 of the family's 1533-position model. The record is from RNAcentral.
UUCAUUCUGGCUCAGGAUGAACGCUAGCUACAGGCUUAACACAUGCAAGUCGAGGGGCAGCAUGAAAGUAGCUUGCUACUUUGAUGGCGACCGGCGCACGGGUGCGUAACGCGUAUCCAAUCUACCCAUGGCUCAGGGGUAGCCUUUCGAAAGAAAGAUUAAUACCUGAUGGUUUCGCUUUUCCGCAUGGUUUAGCGAAUAAAGAUUUAUCGGCGAUGGAUGAGGAUGCGACUGAUUAGGUUGUUGGCGGGGUAACGGCCCACCAAGCCCACGAUCAGUAGGGGUUCUGAGAGGAAGGUCCCCCACAUUGGAACUGAGACACGGUCCAAACUCCUACGGGAGGCAGCAGUGAGGAAUAUUGGUCAAUGGACGAGAGUCUGAACCAGCCAAGUAAGCGUGAAGGAUGACGGCCCUAUGGGUUGUAAACUUCUUUUGUUUGGGAAUAAAGUGCUCUACGUGUAGAGUUUUGUAUGUACCUUACGAAUAAGCAUCGGCUAAUUCCGUGCCAGCCGCCGC